AUAGCGAAGGGUGUAUGGUAUUAGGAGCAACAGAUAGGAAAGUAAGUCAUUUAUGAAUUUGUUGCACGCAUGCACAAUUAUAACAGAUUAUUUAAUGUGUAAAGCUGGAGAAGUUUUUUUACAAAGCAGUCAUAAUUCAUGUUUUAAAACUUUCAAUACCAACAACAGUAACUUUAGAGUUUGCUUGGAAACAUUGUUCUCUGUUCAUUUUCUUGGCUGAAAUUUGCACAUGACCACAGAAUAAGAAAACUCCACUUGAGCAACAUUUCGGUUUUUCUAAUGCUAAGAAGCAGCUGAGACAAUUUUCACAAGUCUAGAACAUUAACAAAUUCAACUUAUCUUGGGCCAAUGCUGAUUUUGAAGACAGUACUUAACCCACCGGCUGCUUCCAAAUUACUUCCUGCUUCAUUCAGAUUUUUAUUGGAGAACUGUCAUCCUGCUACUGACCCCAUUCAACUGGGCUGCCUUAAGAGAUCAGCGGAUUACCGCGCUAGGUAGGGUAGCUGUACGCCAUAUUGUGUUUUCCGCUCAUGUUUAUAGUUUGUGUGCCUAGCAUAUGUUUGUGCAAGUGUGUUUAUCAAUAGAACUUUUAGAAAAUCCCUGCCUCCUGCCUCUUCAGCAUCCUUAAAAAGGAUAACAGCUUCAAGAGGGGCGGGGCGUGGGGCGGGAAAAGACCAGAAUGCCACACGGAUAGUAAUGCAUUAAACAAUGUAAAACAGUGCAUUUCUUGCAAACUUUUAAAAAGCUUCCAACCAUUUCUCUCGGCUAGUGAAAACCGUAAGCAUUUUUUUUUUUCUUUUUAAUGUUUCCACGGGGGCCCACAGGAGGAGAGAAAGAAGGAAAGGAGUGUCUUCCCUUCCCAAGCCCCCUCCUCUAGAGUCGUAGCAGCGAAGCAGGCGGCGGCCGGUAGCUCGGGCGUCUGGAGGGGCGUCCAGCGACUCUGGGGCCAGGACCCCUCCCGCCCCCCAGUUCUCAGAAGACGCUCCAGAGACCGCCAGAGCCACGGCAAGCGGGGGGAGGGCGAGAAGGGAGGGGGCGGAAGACAAGCGGGCGCCUCUAGUAGCUCCUGAGCCCAGGCUAGUCCCCCUCAGCUCCUCUUCUUGGAAGCGGCAACUCCAGGCGCGGGGACUCCUCGCGCUCUUUAAUCUUCUUUCC
Long non-coding RNA from Bos taurus (domestic cattle), 1155 nucleotides. NCBI's taxonomy places the organism in Eukaryota, Metazoa, Chordata, Mammalia, Artiodactyla, Bovidae. The record is from Ensembl.